UACGUAGGGUGCAAGCGUUGUCCGGAAUUAUUGGGCGUAAAGAGCUCGUAGGCGGUCUGUCGCGUCUGCUGUGAAAACUCGGGGCUUAACCCCGGGCCUGCAGUGGGUACGGGCAGACUAGAGUGCGGUAGGGGAGACUGGAAUUCCUGGUGUAGCGGUGGAAUGCGCAGAUAUCAGGAGGAACACCGGUGGCGAAGGCGGGUCUCUGGGCAGCAACUGACGCUGAGGAGCGAAAGCGUGGGGAGCGAACAGG
Molecule: ribosomal RNA, 253 nt
Filed under: uncultured bacterium
Lineage: Bacteria
Description: partial 16S ribosomal RNA
Rfam family: Bacterial small subunit ribosomal RNA
Source: RNAcentral